AAAUCCCGAUUUCGAUCAUCUUUGACGCCUCCUCCGUGCCGAGAUUCAGUCGCACCAUAUCUGGUUCUUGGUAAUGCCAUCUGUCCUUUUGCACCUCAUCCGCCGUCUCCAAUAAAAUAAAAACUUGUCUAAAGACUAGAUGCUGUAGGGUACGUCUUAAAAGUGCUCCUCCACUACGUCGUGCCUUACGUCAAGAGGUGGUCGUCAAAUACCAGAUGCUGUAGGGUACGUCUUAUAAGUGCUCCUCCACUACGUCGUGCCUUACUUCAAGAGGUGGUCGUGGCUUCGCUCCUGCGACCGAACCGAAUCUGUGUAAUCAAGUUUCAUGCUCGAGCUCUAGGAGAAUGGUGAUCCCGUGGAAAAGGAAAAUUGACAAGGAAGAUAUGAAGUCAACGGCAAAAUUACUCUUCAUUCGUUGUAUGGACCUCAACUGGCUCUACCUGAGAACAUAACGA
Molecule: long non-coding RNA, 455 nt
Filed under: Nicotiana benthamiana
Lineage: Eukaryota; Viridiplantae; Streptophyta; Magnoliopsida; Solanales; Solanaceae
Description: long non-coding RNA (NBEN_LNC008584)
Source: RNAcentral